CAAACAGAAUUGGGGAAGGGAGGAGGAGCUCUCAACCAUCACAACCUUUGAUCCACCAUAACUCUUCCGUCCGGGCUCCGAUCGCCGCACCAUUUGCGGCCACGCGCUCAGCGCGUUGAGCUCAACCUUUCUAUCCGAACAAUUUCACUGGUUCAAGUUAGCUUCCGGAACUUGUGAGCUCAAGCUAUUGAGCAUAUGGGUAUGGUUUGUUGGUGACCAAGGCUUGUUUUGGGGCUGUUUGAUUGAGCUUGGAGGGGCUGUAAUUUUGAGUUGUGAGGCUGCCUUUGGUGAACUAAGUGAUUGGCAAAGAUGCAGGUCGAGAGGCUCAUCACUAGGCGUCUGGAUCUUCAAGUGGAGUAGUCCCUGGGAUGUUUUGGUUUAUCAGUUUAUGUAUUUAUGUACUUAGUUACUAGCUUGCUCUCCAAGAAACUUGUUAUUUUGUUCCUCGUAGAGGUUACAGGAGAGUUAGGACUUUACUUCAGUAUUUUGGGUAUUUUGGGAUAUCUGUAUAUGUAUGUAUAUAUAUAUUCUCCGGCCAGCCUUAGUUUCGCAGGCUGAGUCAAGAGCUAGCUAUGAUGUUUUCUUGGCUUUC
Long non-coding RNA from Arachis duranensis, 592 nucleotides. RefSeq lists it as uncharacterized. The record is from RefSeq and is a predicted model, not a curated record. Lineage: Eukaryota; Viridiplantae; Streptophyta; Magnoliopsida; Fabales; Fabaceae. The transcript is spliced from 4 exons.